CAGGCUUAACACAUGCAAGUCGAGCGGGGGAAGGUAGCUUGCUACUGGACCUAGCGGCGGACGGGUGAGUAAUGCUUAGGAAUCUGCCUAUUAGUGGGGGACAACAUCUCGAAAGGGAUGCUAAUACCGCAUACGUCCUACGGGAGAAAGCAGGGGAGCUUCGGACCUUGCGCUAAUAGAUGAGCCUAAGUCGGAUUAGCUAGUUGGUGGGGUAAAGGCCUACCAAGGCGACGAUCUGUAGCGGGUCUGAG
RNAcentral lists this ribosomal RNA (251 nucleotides) under Acinetobacter baumannii OIFC189. Its description in RNAcentral is "partial 16S ribosomal RNA". It matches the Rfam family "Bacterial small subunit ribosomal RNA", at positions 43 to 296 of the family's 1533-position model. The record is from RNAcentral. Lineage: Bacteria; Pseudomonadati; Pseudomonadota; Gammaproteobacteria; Moraxellales; Moraxellaceae.